This 94-nucleotide non-coding RNA is filed under the name bovine gut metagenome. The record is from RNAcentral.
UACCACGGGGUGCUGGAUCGCGCGUCAUCCGAUGCGCGGGCCGGCUGAGAUCAUACCCGCAUAACCUGAUCCGGAUAAUGCCGGCGUAGGAAAU